Phrynosoma platyrhinos (Desert horned lizard) is the source of this 72-nucleotide non-coding RNA. NCBI's taxonomy places the organism in Eukaryota, Metazoa, Chordata, Lepidosauria, Squamata, Phrynosomatidae. The record is from the annotation of a GenBank genome assembly.
GCCAGCAUGCCAUAGUGGUUUGAGUAGUGGACUACAUCUCUGGAGACCAGAGUUCGAUUCCCUGUUUGGGCA